ACCGGCAGCUAGCUCUCUGCAACUCUCACAUGUUCGCCCACUGAAGCUAAGCAGGGCUGCGCCCGGUCAGUACUUGGAUGGGAGACCACAUGGGAAAACUAGGUUGCUGCCGGAA
RNAcentral lists this ribosomal RNA (115 nucleotides) under Danio rerio (zebrafish). Lineage: Eukaryota; Metazoa; Chordata; Actinopteri; Cypriniformes; Danionidae. The record is from RNAcentral.